GGUUUGUGGCUCAAUGGUAGAGCACUUGCUUAGCAUGUGUGAGGCACUGGGUUUGAUCCUCAGCACCA
RNAcentral lists this transfer RNA (68 nucleotides) under Marmota monax (woodchuck). Its description in RNAcentral is "tRNA.Ala". The record is from RNAcentral. Lineage: Eukaryota; Metazoa; Chordata; Mammalia; Rodentia; Sciuridae.